UUUAAAUGGCGUCCCGGAUCGCGGCGGAGGAUUAUGUUUGUUCUCAGCAUUUUGUUUUGUUAAAGAGGCAUGGAGAGUGUGCAAAGAAACUUUUGGUGAAAGUAGCCAACUGAAUUGGAUCUGACAGCAGCUGCAUCACAAAACAAGUACCUUUCACCAGUUGACAGCCAAGAGGUUUGGGGUAAUCAGGCACUGGCUGUUUGUCCUAGACCCUCAGGAAGGAUGCGGAAUGAUAAGGUCGGAGUCGCGCGCAAACACAGAUGAGGCGCAUCACCUUUCGCGAGCACGGCACAGGUAAGCCUGGCCCCGACCGAGCUGCUGGACCAGGGGUCAGGCUUGUGGCCCAGCAUGCAACUGGUCUCGGUCACAUCAGUUCCUUACACCCCAGAGAUGAGCCUGCAGACGGACGUCGUCUGAGACCUUUGAUGUGUGGCUGCGAGAGGUUUUGUUACUGUGACUUUAAUUAGGUCCAGCAGCUGCCCCUUCCUGGUCCGAAUCUCCACUAUCUGCCUAAUCUUUUACAGGUGGCCAUGACAAACACACCAAAAUCAGCCACCACACUCAGGUGAGCGACGUCCAGGGUGGAUCCGUCGCGUCAUGCUUGCCUCUGUUUGGCACAAACAAGUCCGAUGCACAGAGGCUGAGCUAACACAGCCCAGUUGCAGUGAGACAUGGUUCAGAUUCACAGUUCCAUCUCUACGACCAGCAUGUUCCCAGCUUACAGCCAAGCGGGUGUGAAAUUAUGCUAAUAUAUGCUUCCCGUCUAUCAUCUUUUGGCAAAUUUGAUGGCCUAAUUUCUUAAACAUUAUCCUUUAAAGAUAUAUUAGUGGGUUUGUGUAUAGUAAAAGUUGGGGCGAACGCGAUGCAUUGUGCUUCUCUAUUCAUUUCUUUUGUUUUUAGGUUCAGUUUAAGUUAAGCCCAAUUGACAGCAUUUGUGGUAUACUGUCGAUUUUUACCAAAAAAUUAUUUCCUCUUGAACUUGAAAAACUUGUGAAAAACAGUGAAGCACUUACAGUACAACUGAAGUGAAUGGGGCCAAUUUGUAAAUGGUAAAUACUCACUGCUUGAACAAUAUGCAUGUUAGCAUGAUUUUAGUGUAAAAAAAAAAUCUUAGUAACAUUUUCUAUUUUGUUAUAUCCAAUUUUACAGCUUUUUUGCCAACAUAAUGAUAAAACCCUUAAAAUUAUUGUUAAAAUGAUUAUUUAAAUAAUAACUUUACAACGCAAAAAAUGGACAAGUUUUAAAGGUUCCGUAGAAUGAAAAAUUGAAUUUACCUCGGCAUAGUUGAAUAAAAAGAGUUCAGUACAUGGAAAUGACAUACAGUGAGUCUCAAACUCCAUUGUUUCCUCCUUAUUAUGUAAAUUUGAUUUGUUUA
Long non-coding RNA from Megalobrama amblycephala (Wuchang bream), 1375 nucleotides. RefSeq lists it as uncharacterized. The transcript has 3 exons. NCBI's taxonomy places the organism in Eukaryota, Metazoa, Chordata, Actinopteri, Cypriniformes, Xenocyprididae. The record is from RefSeq and is a predicted model, not a curated record.